CAACCCUUGACAUGGGACGUAUGGGCGGGAGAGAUCCCGUUCUUCAGUUCGGCUGGCGUCCACACAGGUGCUGCAUGGCUGUCGUCAGCCCGUGUCGUGAGAUGUUGGGUUAAGUCCCGCAACGAGCGCAACCCCUAUCUUCAGUUGCCAUCAUUUAGUUGGGCACUCUGAAGAAACUGCCGGUGACAAGCCGGAGGAAGGCGGGGAUGACGUCAAGUCCUCAUGGCCCUUACGGGUUGGGCUACACACGUGCUACAAUGGUGGUGACAAUGGGGAGCGAGGCCGCGAGGCCAAGCCAAUCUCAAAAAGCCAUCUCAGUUCGGAUUGCACUCUGCAACUCGAGUGCAUGAAGUUGGAAUCGCUAGUAAUCGUGGAUCAGCAUGCCACGGUG
RNAcentral lists this ribosomal RNA (391 nucleotides) under uncultured bacterium. RNAcentral describes it as "bacterial SSU rRNA". It matches the Rfam family "Bacterial small subunit ribosomal RNA", at positions 975 to 1364 of the family's 1533-position model. The record is from RNAcentral.